CCUACGGGUGGCAGCAGUAGGGAAUCUUGCACAAUGGGCGAAAGCCUGAUGCAGCAACGCCGCGUGGGUGAAGAAGGCCUUCGGAUCGUAAAACUCUGUUGUUAGAGAAGAAAGUGCGUGAGCGUAACUGUUCACGUCUCGACGGUAUCUAACCAGAAAGCCACGGCUAACUACGGGCGAGCAGCUGCGGUAAUACGUAGGUGGCAAGCGUUAUCCGGAUUUAUUGGGCGUAAAGGGAACGCAGGCGGUCUGUUAAGUCUGUUGUGUAAGCCUUCGGCUCAACCGGAGUAGUGCAUUGGAAACUGGCAGGCUUGAGUGCAGAAGAGGUGAGUGGAACUCCUGGUGUAGCGGUGAAAUGCGUAGAUAUUACGAAGAACUCCGGUUGCGAAGGCAGCUUACUGG
This 402-nucleotide ribosomal RNA is filed under the name uncultured bacterium. RNAcentral's name for it is "partial 16S ribosomal RNA". It matches the Rfam family "Bacterial small subunit ribosomal RNA", at positions 338 to 732 of the family's 1533-position model. The record is from RNAcentral.